UGGGGAAUCUUGGACAAUGGGCGCAAGCCUGAUCCAGCCAUGCCGCGUGAGUGAAGAAGGCCUUCGGGUUGUAAAGCUCUUUUACCAGGGACGAUAAUGACGGUACCUGGAGAAUAAGCCCCGGCAAACUUCGUGCCAGCAGCCGCGGUAAUACGAAGGGGGCUAGCGUUGUUCGGAAUUACUGGGCGUAAAGCGCACGUAGGCGGAUUGUUAAGUCAGAGGUGAAAUCCCGGAGCUCAACUUCGGAACUGCCUUUGAUACUGGCAAUCUAGAGUCCGGAAGAGGUUAGUGGAAUUCCCAGUGUAGAGGUGAAAUUCGUAGAUAUUGGGAAGAACACCAGUGGCGAAGGCGGCUAACUGGUCCGGUACUGACGCUGAGGUGCGAAAGCGUGGGGAGCAAACAGGAUUAGAUACCCUCGUAGUCCCUGAGCGGGCUGGCAAGGCGCAU
Molecule: ribosomal RNA, 447 nt
Filed under: uncultured bacterium
Lineage: Bacteria
Description: bacterial SSU rRNA
Rfam family: Bacterial small subunit ribosomal RNA
Source: RNAcentral